Oryza sativa Indica Group (long-grained rice) is the source of this 199-nucleotide microRNA precursor. It matches the Rfam family "MIR812 microRNA precursor family". Lineage: Eukaryota; Viridiplantae; Streptophyta; Magnoliopsida; Poales; Poaceae. The record is from Rfam.
UUUCAGAAGAAAAACCGUGUCCAAUGUUUGACCAUCCGUCUUAUUUUAAAAAAAUAUGAAAAAAUUAAAAAUAUAAAUCACGCAUAAAGUAUUAAUCAUGUUUUAUCAUCUAACAACAAUGAAAAUACUAAUUAUAAAAAAAUUUCAUAUAAGAUGGACAGUCAAACGUUGAACACGGAAACCCAAGGUUUGUCUUUUU